GACGAACGCUGGCGGCGUGCUUAACACAUGCAAGUCGAACGGAAAGGCCCUGCUUUUGUGGGGUGCUUGAGUGGCGAACGGGUGAGUAACACGUGAGUAACCUGCCCUUGACUUUGGGAUAACUUCAGGAAACUGGGGCUAAUACCGGAUAGGAGCUCCUGCUGCAUGGUGGGGGUUGGAAAGUUUCGGCGGUUGGGGGUGGACUCGCGGCUUAUCAGCUUGUUGGUGGGGUAGUGGCUUACCAAGGCUUUGACGGGUAGCCGGCCUGAGAGGGUGACCGGCCACAUUGGGACUGAGAUACGGCCCAGACUCCUACGGGAGGCAGCAGUGGGGAAUAUUGCACAAUGGGCGGAAGCCUGAUGCAGCAACGCCGCGUGCGGGAUGACGGCCUUCGGGUUGUAAACCGCUUUCGCCUGUGACGAAGCGUGAGUGACGGUAAUGGGUAAAGAAGCACCGGCUAACUACGUG
This 468-nucleotide ribosomal RNA is filed under the name uncultured bacterium. RNAcentral describes it as "partial 16S ribosomal RNA". It matches the Rfam family "Bacterial small subunit ribosomal RNA", at positions 28 to 507 of the family's 1533-position model. The record is from RNAcentral.